This 508-nucleotide ribosomal RNA is filed under the name uncultured bacterium. RNAcentral describes it as "partial 16S ribosomal RNA". It matches the Rfam family "Bacterial small subunit ribosomal RNA", at positions 28 to 507 of the family's 1533-position model. The record is from RNAcentral.
GACGAACGCUGGCGGCGUGCCUAAUACAUGCAAGUCGAACGCUUCUUUCCUCCCGAGUGCUUGCACUCAAUUGGAAAGAGGAGUGGCGGACGGGUGAGUAACACGUGGGUAACCUACCCAUCAGAGGGGGAUAACACUUGGAAACAGGUGCUAAUACCGCAUAACAGUUUAUGCCGCAUGGCAUAAGAGUGAAAGGCGCUUUCGGGUGUCGUUGAUGGAUGGACCCGCGGUGCAUUAGCUAGUUGGUGAGGUAACGGCUCACCAAGGCCACGAUGCAUAGCCGACCUGAGAGGGUGAUCGGCCACACUGGGACUGAGACACGGCCCAGACUCCUGCGGGAGGCAGCAGUAGGGAAUCUUCGGCAAUGGACGAAAGUCUGACCGAGCAACGCCGCGUGAGUGAAGAAGGUUUUCGGAUCGUAAAACUCUGUUGUUAGAGAAGAACAAGGACGUUAGUAACUGAACGUCCCCUGACGGUAUCUAACCAGAAAGCCACGGCUAACUACGUG